This 305-nucleotide ribosomal RNA is filed under the name uncultured bacterium. RNAcentral describes it as "partial 16S ribosomal RNA". It matches the Rfam family "Bacterial small subunit ribosomal RNA", at positions 505 to 807 of the family's 1533-position model. The record is from RNAcentral.
ACAGCAGCAGCCGCGGUAAUACGAAGGGUGCAAGCGUUACUCGGAAUUACUGGGCGUAAAGCGUGCGUAGGUGGUGGUUUAAGUCCGUUGUGAAAGCCCUGGGCUCAACCUGGGAAUUGCAGUGGAUACUGGGUCACUAGAGUGUGGUAGAGGAUAGUGGAAUUUCCGGUGUAGCAGUGAAAUGCGUAGAGAUCGGAAGGAACAUCUGUGGCGAAGGCGACUAUCUGGGCCAACACUGACACUGAGGCACGAAAGCGUGGGGAGCAAACAGGAUUAGAUACCCCGGUAGUCCCUGUCUCUUAUAC